RNAcentral lists this ribosomal RNA (253 nucleotides) under uncultured bacterium. RNAcentral describes it as "partial 16S ribosomal RNA". It matches the Rfam family "Bacterial small subunit ribosomal RNA", at positions 524 to 776 of the family's 1533-position model. The record is from RNAcentral.
UACAGAGGGUGCGAGCGUUAAUCGGAGUUAUUGGGCGUAAAGGGCGCGUAGGCGGUUUGUCAAGUGAGAUGUGAAAUCCCUGGGCUUAACCUAGGAAUUGCAUUUUAGACUGAUAGGCUAGAGUACAGUAGAGGGUGGCGGAAUUUCCGGUGUAGCGGUGAAAUGCGUAGAGAUCGGAAGGAACAUCAGUGGCGAAGGCGGCCACCUGGACUGGUACUGACGCUGAGGCGCGAGAGCGUGGGGAGCAAACAGG